Molecule: long non-coding RNA, 1569 nt
Organism: Zingiber officinale
Lineage: Eukaryota; Viridiplantae; Streptophyta; Magnoliopsida; Zingiberales; Zingiberaceae
Exons: 2
Source: RefSeq, a predicted model, not a curated record
GAAGUUGGUUAACUUAAGUAACUUAGGGUUUGGAAUAAAAGACCUAGGUAUUAUACCUAUACCUCCCGAUUUCCGGUUGAUUGUGGCUCGAAUCGCCGUUCCAUCUCUACUCAUCACCUUCGCUGGUGUCGAUCGACUCUCCACCAAGCUCAGGUUUCCGAUCAAGCACCAAAAGAUCUCGGUGGAGUUGCGAUUGGAUGUGGAGUCCCUUGACCACCACACCGGCGGCACGACUACAGCUAGGGCGAGGGCUCCGACAGAGGAACGAGGAAAGGAAGGCAAGUACUCUGCAAUAUGAUGGUAUGAGAUCCGCAAGGUAGAGGAUAGGAGCUUGGAAGAGUUGAUAUGCUCACCGAUUAUGUUCAGCAGGUUGAUUGAGAUGCGAUUUGGUGCUUCUGUGUUAUCUCAAUUUCACCUCGUGAUUUUCAUGAUUUCUGCAAAAGAUGAGAACAUCUUUGAUGGGAUUUGAGUUGUACUGAUUUUUCCUCUCGUGAAUUGAGUUCUGAUUUGAGUUCUUUGGGUUUGAGUUGCGAAUUGGUUCUUCCGAUGGUGCUCAUGUCUCCGCUUAAGAAUUCUGUGUGAUUCUGGUUUUGAAAGUGAGUUGUCACAAAGUUUUGCUAUGAUUUGUGAUUGACAUGAGUUUCAAAUUGGUUUCCUCUUGUCGAUCUGAUCCUGCGAUCCGGUUUCUGGUAGCCUUGGUUAGUUUUCUUUAUGCCACUGGAAGCUUUGGAACAAUUCGUUUGGAUUUCUGUAGAGUUAGUUGAUGACCUAGCUAUAUUCCGUUUGGAUUCAGUGAACAUUGUUUGGAACUGGAAUUUGAUAUGGAAUUUUAUCUCUCGAGAUUGUUCCGAGGAUAGUGAAUUUUGUUUAGGUUGUAUCUAUUUGUUUAUUCUUUCUGUUAUUGUACAGUUUUGUUUCGUGAGGUUAUUAGAUGACCAUGGAAUUCAAUGAGAUUUGUUUUGUUAUGCGGAUAAGGUUGAUUUGUUGGGAGUUAACUUUGGUGUGGUUUUGAUUCGUGGGGAGUUAAUUUUGAUUGUGAUUUCGGUUUCUUACGAGUCAGCUGCGAUUUUUAUGGAAGGAUUUAGUAGACUAUGAGUUUUCUUUGGAGGUUUGAACGUGGAUUUGUGCUGUGGUUGUUCCUGUUGCUGUGAGAAAAUUGUGUUUUACAGUGGUCUUUUGAAAUGGGCGAUGGCUUUGGGAUUUUCUAUUGGGUUUGGUAGGUGUAAACACGGAUUCAAAGUUGGUUCUUCUUUCUUCUGAUGUUUUCAUUGGUGUGCUGGAAUUCCAUAUCAGAUUCUUUAAAGGUGAGGAUGACUUCCAGGAUAUGCCAGAAGGCCCACGGACGAAGUAGACGAGGAGGCGGGAUGGACGCAUGGUACUGUCCGUUGUCCGGGAGGGCAGUGCAUACUGGAUCUACCAAGAGAGAUUUUCGUUUCUUAGUCACUCGGGUGGGGAAUGUUGAGGAGUUAUUGUUCUUAUCGAUAAACAUUUGUUGAUACAAUCUUGUCUAUUGGUUAUGAUAGUUCCUUUAUGGUUCGGCAAUGUGAUCAUUCAAAUCGUAGUUGUUGA